This 253-nucleotide ribosomal RNA is filed under the name uncultured bacterium. RNAcentral describes it as "partial 16S ribosomal RNA". It matches the Rfam family "Bacterial small subunit ribosomal RNA", at positions 524 to 776 of the family's 1533-position model. The record is from RNAcentral.
UACGGGGGGAGCAAGCGUUGUUCGGAUUUACUGGGCGUAAAGGGCGCGUAGGCGGCGCAACAAGUCACUUGUGAAAUCUCCGGGCUUAACCCGGAGCGGCCAAGUGAUACUGUCGUGCUAGAGUGCGGAAGGGGCUACUGGAAUUCUCGGUGUAGCGGUGAAAUGCGCAGAUAUCGGGAGGAACACCUAUUGCGAAGGCAGCUCGCUGGGACGUCACUGACGCUGAGACGCGAAAGCGUGGGGAGCAAACAGG